UACGUAGGGUGCAAGCGUUGUCCGGAAUUAUUGGGCGUAAAGAGCUCGUAGGCGGUCUGUCGCGUCUGCUGUGGAAACUCAGGGCUUAACCCUGAGCUUGCAGUGGGUACGGGCAGACUAGAGUGCGGUAGGGGAGACUGGAAUUCCUGGUGUAGCGGUGAAAUGCGCAGAUAUCAGGAGGAACACCGGUGGCGAAGGCGGGUCUCUGGGCCGUUACUGACGCUGAGGAGCGAAAGCGUGGGGAGCGAACAGG
This 253-nucleotide ribosomal RNA is filed under the name uncultured bacterium. Its description in RNAcentral is "partial 16S ribosomal RNA". It matches the Rfam family "Bacterial small subunit ribosomal RNA", at positions 524 to 776 of the family's 1533-position model. The record is from RNAcentral.